GUUAUCACUUGAUGAAUCAUCAAUACUGCAUCUAUUGUCGCUGGGAAUCUGGAUGUAAACAUUACCUUUGUCAUGAUGUCCAGAACUAAUCUGAGUGGAUAAAUUGCUACUUUGAGUCUGUCCAGGACCUUGAUCAUCUAAACCAGUUUUCUUUUGAGAUUUUUGCUUCUUUACAGUCUGCUGAGAAGGGAACUUUGGAAUGUGCGGGUGACUUCCUAAGGUUGGCAUGGAAGAAUGAUGUGGUGGAGGAACUUUCCCACCCUCAGCAAGUGCAGCGUAGUAGCGGGCUAAGGCACGAGCUGAGCAAUGGCCAUUCGCAGCAGGUAUAAUAGCACGGCGAGCAUAGAGUGAGUUAAAUAUUGCAGGUAAAGUAGUUGCAAGUUGAGCCAUCUGCUGUGGCUGGAAGGUGGUUGGAAGAUCUGAACGGUUGCCGACAUUUGAC
RNAcentral lists this unclassified non-coding RNA (442 nucleotides) under Hevea brasiliensis (rubber tree). The record is from RNAcentral. Lineage: Eukaryota; Viridiplantae; Streptophyta; Magnoliopsida; Malpighiales; Euphorbiaceae.